AGAGCGCGGCGAAAUGCGAUAAGUAAUGCGAAUUGCAGAAUUCAGUGAGUCAUCGAAUCUUUGAACGCAUAUUGCGCCCUUUGGUAUUCCGAAGGGCAUGCCUGUUCGAGCGUCAUGAUCAACCAUCAAGCUUGGCUUGUCGUUGGACUUUUGGCCCCCCGGGGCCGGUCUGAAGAGUAAUAGACAGGACGUGGUCGCCUCUGUAAUACGACGAGCUUUCCAAGCAUGUAUUUCAGGCCACCCGCCCCCGUCUUUAAACCCCUAUUAUUUCCAGUUGACCUCGGAUCAGGUAAGGAUACCCGCUGAACUUAAGCAUAUCAAUAAGCGGAGGAAAAGAAACCAACAGGGAUUACCCUAGUAACGGCGAGUGAAGCGGUAACAGCUCAAAUUUAAAAUCUGGCCUUGACGGGUCCGAGUUGUAAUUUGCAGAGGAUGUUUUGGACAAGACGGCGGUUUAAAUUUCUUGGAACAGAAUAUCGCAGAGGGUGAGAGUCCCGUCUAAAACCGAUGGUCGCGUCCGUGUGAAACUCCCUCGACGAGUCGAGUUGUUUGGGAAUGCAGCUCAAAAUGGGUGGUAAAUUUCAUCUAAAGCUAAAUAUUGGCCAGAGACCGAUAGCGCACAAGUAGAGUGAUCGAAAGAUGAAAAGCACUUUGAAAAGAGAGUUAAAUAGCAUGUGAAAUUGUUGAAAGGGAAGCGCUUGCAACCAGACUUGUCUGUUGUGGUUCCCCCCGUCUUCUGGCGGGGAUAUUCCGCGACGUUCAGGCCAGCAUCGGUUUGGGUGGUUGGUGAAAGGCCCGAGGAAUGUAUCUACCUCCGGGUCGACUUAUAGCCUCGGGUGUC
Molecule: ribosomal RNA, 841 nt
Filed under: uncultured Chaetothyriales
Lineage: Eukaryota; Fungi; Ascomycota; Eurotiomycetes; Chaetothyriales
Description: eukaryotic LSU rRNA
Rfam family: Eukaryotic large subunit ribosomal RNA (bases 276-841)
Source: RNAcentral